GAUGAACGCUAGCGAUAGGCUUAACACAUGCAAGUCGAGGGGCAGCACAAGGUAGCUUGCUAUCUGGGUGGCGACCGGCGCACGGGUGCGUAACGCGUAUGCAACUUGCCCUAUACAGGAGGAUAACCCGUCGAAAGACGGACUAAUACUGCGUAUGCUCACAACUUGGCAUCAAGUGGUGAGGAAAGAAAUUCGGUAUAGGAUAGGCAUGCGUCCCAUUAGCUUGUUGGUGAGGUAACGGCUCACCAAGGCAACGAUGGGUAGGGGAACUGAGAGGUUUAUCCCCCAAACUGGUACUGAGACACGGACCAGACUCCUACGGGAGGCAGCAGUGAGGAAUAGUGGUCAAUGGGCGCGAGCCUGAACCAGCCAAGUCGCGUGAAGGAUGACUGUCUUAUGGAUUGUAAACUUCUUUUAUACGGGAAUAACAAGAGUCACGUGUGACUCCCUGCAUGUACCGUAUGAAUAAGCAUCGGCUAACUCCGUG
Molecule: ribosomal RNA, 487 nt
Filed under: uncultured bacterium
Lineage: Bacteria
Description: partial 16S ribosomal RNA
Rfam family: Bacterial small subunit ribosomal RNA
Source: RNAcentral